Molecule: ribosomal RNA, 388 nt
Filed under: Stramenopiles sp. MAST-7B
Lineage: Eukaryota
Description: partial small subunit ribosomal RNA
Rfam family: Eukaryotic small subunit ribosomal RNA
Source: RNAcentral
AUUCCAGCUCCAAUAGCGUAUAUUAAAGUUGUUGCAGUUUAAAAGCUCGUAGUUGGAUUUCUGGCGGGAGUCCGGGUCGGCCUUAACGGGUUGCACUGUUGUGACGUCUCGCCGUUUCGAGGGGAAUGGGCUCGCUAUUAGGUUAGUGUGUUCGGGAACCUCGUCGUUUACUGUGAAAAAAUUAGAGUGUUCAAAGCAGGCCUUUGCUGUGAAUACAUUAGCAUGGAAUAAUAAGAUAGGACUGUAGUGCUAUUUUGUUGGUUUGCGUACUAUGGUAAUGAUUAAUAGGGAUAGUUGGGGGUAUUCAUAUUCAAUUGUCAGAGGUGAAAUUCUUGGAUUUAUGGAAGAUGAACUACUGCGAAAGCAUUUACCAAGGAUGUUUUCAUUA